UCUGAUAGGGGUGUGAAUGCUUACUAAU
RNAcentral lists this non-coding RNA (28 nucleotides) under Rattus norvegicus (Norway rat). Lineage: Eukaryota; Metazoa; Chordata; Mammalia; Rodentia; Muridae. The record is from RNAcentral.